This 340-nucleotide ribosomal RNA is filed under the name uncultured Spirochaetota bacterium. Its description in RNAcentral is "bacterial SSU rRNA". It matches the Rfam family "Bacterial small subunit ribosomal RNA", at positions 29 to 351 of the family's 1533-position model. Lineage: Bacteria; Pseudomonadati; Spirochaetota. The record is from RNAcentral.
AACGAACGCUGGCGGCGCGUUUUAAACAUGCAAGUCGAACGAGAACCUCAGUGCUUGCAUUGAGGGGACAGUGGCGAACGGGUGAGUAACACGUGGAUAAUCUACCUCUAGGAUGGGGACAACCACUGGAAACGGUGGCUAAUACCAAAUGAUAUGAUUAUUACAUAAGUAGUGAUCAUCAAAGGUGGGGACCUUCGGGCCUAUCGCCUGGAGAUGAGUCCGCGGCCCAUUAGCUUGUUGGUGAGGUAAUGGCUUACCAAGGCGACGAUGGGUAGCCGGCCUGAGAGGGUGAACGGCCACAUUGGGACUGAGACACGGCCCAGACUCCUACGGGAGGCAG